RNAcentral lists this ribosomal RNA (492 nucleotides) under uncultured bacterium. Its description in RNAcentral is "partial 16S ribosomal RNA". It matches the Rfam family "Bacterial small subunit ribosomal RNA", at positions 29 to 507 of the family's 1533-position model. The record is from RNAcentral.
AGUGAACGCUGGCGGUAGGCCUAACACAUGCAAGUCGAACGGCAGCACAGUAAGAGCUUGCUCUUACGGGUGGCGAGUGGCGGACGGGUGAGGAAUACAUCGGAAUCUACUUUUUCGUGGGGGAUAACGUAGGGAAACUUACGCUAAUACCGCAUACGACCUACGGGUGAAAGCAGGGGAUCUUCGGACCUUGCGCGAUUGCAUGAGCCGAUGUCGGAUUAGCUAGUUGGCGGGGUAAAGGCCCACCAAGGCGACGAUCCGUAGCUGGUCUGAGAGGAGGAUCAGGCACACUGGAACGGAGACACGGUCCAGACUCCUACGGGAGGCAGCAGUGGGGAAUAUUGGACAAUGGGCGCAAGCCUGAUCCAGCCAUACCGCGUGGGUGAAGAAGGCCUUCGGGUUGUAAAGCCCUUUUGUGGGGAAAGAAAAGCAGCAGGUUAAUACCCCGCUGUUCUGACGGUACCCAAAGAAGAAGCACCGGCUAACUUCGUG